AUUGAACGCUGGAGGCAGGCCUAACACAUGCAAGUCGAACGAGUGGCGGACGGGUGAGUAAUGUCUGGGAAACUGCCUGAUGGAGGGGGAUCACUACUGGGAACGGUAGCUAAUACCGCAUACCAUCAGAUGUGCCAAGAUGGGAUUAGCUAGUUGGUGGGGUAACGGCUCACCAAGGCGAAGAUCCCUAGCGGGUCUGAGCGGAGGACCAGCCACACUGGAACUGAGACACGGUCCAGACUCCUACGGUAGGCAGCAGUUGGGCAUAUUGCACAAUGGGCGCAAUCCUGAUGCAGCCAUGCCGCGUGUAUGAAGAAGGCCUUCGGGUUGUAAAGUACUUUCAGCGGGGAGUCGUUACCCGCAGAAGAAGCACCGGCUAACUACGUGCCAGCAGCCGCGGUAAUAC
This 406-nucleotide ribosomal RNA is filed under the name uncultured bacterium. RNAcentral describes it as "partial 16S ribosomal RNA". It matches the Rfam family "Bacterial small subunit ribosomal RNA", at positions 30 to 526 of the family's 1533-position model. The record is from RNAcentral.